UACGGAGGGUGCAAGCGUUGUCCGGAUUUAUUGGGUUUAAAGGGUGUGUAGGCGGACAUUUAAGUCUGGGGUGAGAUCUCUGAGCUCAACUCAGAAACUGCCUUGGAUACUAUUUGUCUUGAAUCAUGUUGAGGUUGGCGGAAUAUAACAUGUAGCGGUGAAAUGCAUAGAUAUGUUAUAGAACACCGAUUGCGAAGGCAGCUGGCUAAACAUGCAUUGACGCUGAGGCACGAAAGCGUGGGGAUCAAACAGG
This 253-nucleotide ribosomal RNA is filed under the name uncultured bacterium. RNAcentral's name for it is "partial 16S ribosomal RNA". It matches the Rfam family "Bacterial small subunit ribosomal RNA", at positions 524 to 776 of the family's 1533-position model. The record is from RNAcentral.